RNAcentral lists this ribosomal RNA (253 nucleotides) under uncultured bacterium. Its description in RNAcentral is "partial 16S ribosomal RNA". It matches the Rfam family "Bacterial small subunit ribosomal RNA", at positions 524 to 776 of the family's 1533-position model. The record is from RNAcentral.
UACGUAGGGUGCGAGCGUUAAUCGGAAUUACUGGGCGUAAAGUGUGCGCAGGUGGCUUCGCAAGUCGAGUGUGAAAUCCCCGGGCUUAACCUGGGAAUUGCGCUCGAAACUACGGAGCUGGAGUAUGGCAGAGGGAGGUGGAAUUCCACGUGUAGCAGUGAAAUGCGUAGAGAUGUGGAGGAACACCGAUGGCGAAGGCAGCCCCCUGGGUCAACACUGACGCUCAUGCACGAAAGCGUGGGGAGCAAACAGG